This 202-nucleotide long non-coding RNA is filed under the name Capsicum annuum. Its description in RNAcentral is "long non-coding RNA (CANN_LNC016845)". Lineage: Eukaryota; Viridiplantae; Streptophyta; Magnoliopsida; Solanales; Solanaceae. The record is from RNAcentral.
CUUCUAGGUCUAGUUUUUUAAUGUGCUCUUCCUGCACAGUAUCUUUGUUAAUAGCUUCUUGUUUUUUAUAGUGCUCAAUUUGCACUUUCACAUUUGUAACUUCAGUAGUUAAUGUGAUAACUCGUUCUUGUAAUAACUUCAUUUGUUCAAAUAUUUGUAACAUUAAGUCUGUUUAGGUAUCUUUGACAUCAGCUUCUUCUAU